GUAAGAAGAGGGGACAGGCAGACCUGGGGGAGCUGUGCCUCAGCUGUGGGCACAGAAGACAGGAAUCAGGACGUCCUCACCAUGGCCUGGUCCCCUCUCCUCCUCACUCUCCUGGCUCACUGCACAGGGUCCUGGGCCCAGUCUAUGCUGACUCAGCCGCCCUCGGUGUCUGGAGCCCUGGGGGAGACGGUCACCAUCUCCUGCUUGGGAAGCAGCAGCAACAUUGGGGGUGGGAAUUAUGGGCACUGGUACCAGCAGCUCCAGGGAACAGCCCCUAAACUCAUCAUCUAUGAUAACAGCAACAGACCCUCGGGGAUCCCUGGCAGAUUCUCUGGCUCCAAGUCUGGUAGUUCAGCCUCCCUGACCAUCACGGGGCUCCAGAGUGACGAUGAGGCAAUUUAUUUCUGUCAGUCCUAUGACAACAGCCUGCGUGCUUGGAUUUUCGGCGCAGGGACCAAGUUGACCGUCCUAGGUCAGCCCAAGGCCACUCCCAUCGUCACUCUCUUCCCUCCCUCCUCUGAGGAGCUCAGCACCAACAAGGCCACACUGGUGUGUCUGAUGAGUGACUUCUACCCGGACUCCGUCUCCGUGGCCUGGAAGGCAGAUGGCAGCCCGGUCACCCAGGGCGUGGAGACCACCAAGCCCUUGAAACAGAGCAACGGCAAACACGCGGCCAGCAGCUACCUAAGCCUGACAGGUGACCAGUGGAAAAGUCGCAGCAAGUAUAGCUGCCAGGUCACCCACGAUGGCAAGACCGAGGAGAAGACAGUGUCCCCUGCACAAUGUGCUUAGGGUACCAGCCCCCCUCCCCAGCUCCGGGGGCCUGGAACUGCAGGAUCCCAGGGGAGGGAUCUUCCUUCCCACCCCGGUCAUCCCGGCACUUCCCCGUGCACCCUAUAAACCCUCAAUAAAUACCCACAUUGCCAGUCAAA
Nycticebus coucang (slow loris) is the source of this 932-nucleotide non-coding RNA. Lineage: Eukaryota; Metazoa; Chordata; Mammalia; Primates; Lorisidae. The record is from the annotation of a RefSeq genome assembly.